GUGCCGUAUACGUCUCCCUUCUUUAACUUCUUCUCGUCACAAACCCCACUGAAAUUCAGUCGACGAUGUUUCUUAAAACUUCACCUGGUUCUUCGAAAACAGCUUUAAAACUUGGAUUCUCAUGUUCAUUCCCCCGUUUACAAGACCCAAGUAUUUCAGUUUCAAAAAAUGAACUCACAAAACCAACCAAACACCUUCCCACUGUUAAACGCAAAGCUCAACUUGAUAUAUUCCUCCACGUAAACUGCAGAUCAGGUAACUUCUCUCUCAAUGAAACUCUCGACUUCAUCGAUUACAAGAUUCAUAUGCAACCCAACCACAUAUGAAUCGUUCAGUAGUUUGUUCUCCGCAUUUGCUCAGAAGAAAUAUGUUUGUCAACUUCAUGUAGUUUUCGGGAGGAUUUUGAGGAGGGGUUUUUGCCCACAUGCGAUUACUUUUAAUGGUCUGAUUCAGGUGUUUGUAUGGGUGUUUGUAUGGAGGGUAAGAUUAAGGAGGCGGCUGAAUUGUUUAGCAAAAUGGUUGUUUUUGGUUUUCGGCUUAAUGUGAUUACAUUUGGGAUAUUUGAUUACUAGAUUGUAUUGAAUAGGCAAUAUAGGUACUGCCUUUCAGUUAUUUGAAGAAAUGGUUGAUGGGAAUGCUGAAUUUGGUGUCAUUUAUAAGCUUAAUAUUGUUGUUUACGGUAAUAGUAUUGCAGGUCACACCAAAUUCACUAUUCUCAUUUGCAAAUGAUUCAUAGAGGUGUUGAUCCGGACACAAUUACUUAUAAUACAAUUUUGAAUGGUUAUCUCUUGGAAGGUGGAACUGAAGUUGUGAGAAAGCUAUUAUUUUCCAUGGCAUGUAACGGAUAUUUGGAUAGAUGGUUUUUGCUUGGCAAAUAAAUUUAGUGAUCCUAAGGAGUUGUUUGUUUUGAUGAUGAGUAAGGGAGAUAUGCCUAUCUUUGAUCAGUUGGUAUUACAAGAAUCGAAAAAGUUGAAAUAGCUACGAGCCUUUAUAAGGAAAUGACUUAAAAUGGAGUUAGGCACUUAGGCCCGAAGUUGUUCCACCGGGUUUAGUUACAUAUAAUAUUAUGGACUCUGCAAAAAUGGUUGUCUUUUGGAGGCUCUUGAACUGAUUCAUUGAAAAAUGAAAACUUUCAACCUGAAAUCAAAAUCUUUAGUUGUCUCAUUGAUGGACUCUACAAAACGUGGAGACUUGAAAUUGUCUAGGAAUUAUUUCACUAACUGCAAAAUAAGGUUUUGUUCCGGAUGUUGUGACAUAUAGCAUUAUGAUGGAUGGGCUUUGUAAAGGAGGGCACUUAGAAAAGGCAAGUAAUCUGUAAUCAUAUAUGGAACAAAAGGGUUCUGUUCCAGAGGUUAUAUUUAAUACGCCUGUGCAUGCUUUCCUACAGCAUGAUGGGACUUCAAAAGUGGUUGAACUUCUUCGCAAAGUGGCAUAAAGAAAUAUGAAUAUGUAUUCCGAAGUUUUGGAAGCCAAGAGUGGGAUAUUGGUUUUGAUAUUCAAGCUUUGCUUGCUAGUGCUCUCGCUGAUGAAAUAGGAACUGUAAUUAAAAGAGAACAUGAAUUUAUGAGGCAUCUCAGGUGAAGGACAUUCGUUCUGGGGACUUCAAGGGAAUGCAUCGACAUAUCACUAAGGGAGCCUGGAUUUUCUGUGAUCAAGAUCAUGGAUGACAAGUUUCUGCUUGUACUGCUGAAGGUUUAAGUUUAACGGUGUUCCCUGCUUUUCUCAAUGAUGCCACAAGAAAUUGUUCUCGAAAAAAUGGAACCUGAGAGGUUAUCUGAUUCUGUCAAUCUCUUGCUAUCAUUACAGAGCAAAAAUGGAGGAGUAUCAGCCUGGGAGCCAGCCAGAGCCCAACAAUGGUUUAACUGCUGAAUCCCUGAGAGUUUUUCAAGGACAUAGUGAUUGAGCAUGAAUAUGUAGUGUGCACGUCAUCCGCUAUCAAGUGUAGUUCCAAUGCAGUAAGGCUUAUGAUCAGGAGAAACUUCCUAAUGGCUAUGGGCAGAAAAUGAUGGAAGGAAGUUUAGGCAUUUGUUAUAUUUUUCAUUCUUCACUAUUGAAGUUGUGCUUGCACCUGCCACAAUAUUUCUUAUGCUGUAGCAAACCAUGCAUAAGUGUAUUAAAUAUGAUUGCAUCUGGAGCACCCUUUUGCUUUAUAAAUUGAUUUUGAAGUGAUAUUCAGUAACUGCAGUCGAAAACAGAAAUGAUAUUAUAACUAUGAAAUGAUAUAAUGCUUUGACAAACAAGGUAUUACGGAUGCAACUUCAAGUGUUACUAUGAUUAAGUUAACUGUGAGGGAUAGAGCUAUAGAUCUUAGGAAGAUGCAGAGAACUAUUAGUAAGAGGAGUCUUGCUCAGGAUUGGGGGUUACCGAUGUGUAUUUUUAAAGGGUGAAUUUUUGUUGGUUGGCUUUGUUUUGGUGAUGGUUGUCUUGUGUAUGUUUUGGAGAUGGUCUUGUAUAGGCUUUUGUUUUCAUCUUAACCCAGGGUUUCUCUUGUGGUAGGAUAUGCAUUGGAAGAUAGUGUUUGGAAUAGUUCUUUUACCUUGGUUAAACUUUCGUUUUGGUUUUGUCUAUUAGUAGGCUGGUGGCCUUUAUAGGCCUCUUUGUACAUUCUUUUUCUUUUUCUAUUUAAAGCUUAGUUACUAAAAAAACAA
Long non-coding RNA from Pistacia vera, 2648 nucleotides. RefSeq lists it as uncharacterized. Lineage: Eukaryota; Viridiplantae; Streptophyta; Magnoliopsida; Sapindales; Anacardiaceae. The transcript is spliced from 5 exons. The record is from RefSeq and is a predicted model, not a curated record.